UACAGGGGGGGCAAGCGUUGUUCGGAAUUACUGGGCGUAAAGGGUCUGUAGGUGGCCAACUAAGUCAGACGUGAAAUCCCUCAGCUUAACUGGGGAACUGCCUUUGAUACUGAGAAGCUUGAGUCCGGGAGAGGUGAGUGGAACUGCGAGUGUAGAGGUGAAAUUCGUAGAUAUUCGCAAGAACACCAGUGGCGAAGGCGGCUCACUGGCCCGAUACUGACGCUGAGGCACGAAAGCGUGGGGAGCAAACAGG
RNAcentral lists this ribosomal RNA (253 nucleotides) under uncultured bacterium. RNAcentral describes it as "partial 16S ribosomal RNA". It matches the Rfam family "Bacterial small subunit ribosomal RNA", at positions 524 to 776 of the family's 1533-position model. The record is from RNAcentral.